RNAcentral lists this ribosomal RNA (433 nucleotides) under uncultured bacterium. Its description in RNAcentral is "partial 16S ribosomal RNA". It matches the Rfam family "Bacterial small subunit ribosomal RNA", at positions 29 to 507 of the family's 1533-position model. The record is from RNAcentral.
AACGAACGCUGGCGGCAUGCCUAACACAUGCAAGUCGAACGAGACCUUCGGGUCUAGUGGCGCACGGGUGCGUAACGCGUGGGAACCUGCCCUUAGGUUCGGAAUAACUCCCCGCAAGGGGUGCUAAUACCGGAUAAUGUCUUCGGACCAAAGAUUUAUCGCCUUUGGAUGGGCCCGCGUUGGAUUAGCUAGUUGGUGGGGUAAAAGCCUACCAAGGCGACGAUCCAUAGCUGGUCUGAGAGGAUGAUCAGCCACACUGGGACUGAGACACGGCCCAGACUCCUACGGGAGGCAGCAGUGGGGAAUAUUGGACAAUGGGCGAAAGCCUGAUCCAGCAAUGCCGCGUGAGUGAUGAAGGCCUUAGGGUUGUAAAGCUCUUUUACCCGGGAUGAUGAUGACAGUACCGGGAGAAUAAGCUCCGGCUAACUCCGUG